Long non-coding RNA from Centruroides sculpturatus (bark scorpion), 833 nucleotides. RefSeq lists it as uncharacterized. The transcript is spliced from 3 exons. Lineage: Eukaryota; Metazoa; Arthropoda; Arachnida; Scorpiones; Buthidae. The record is from RefSeq and is a predicted model, not a curated record.
UCGGUGACGUCUAGCGCGGUGAGUUGUGGGAAGGUCGGUUGGACGCCGCACUCGGCGCUCAGCUGGCGAUCGGUUCGAACGUUUUGUUUCUGUUUACCUACCGAAUUGCAUUUGUAACGUAAGUUGCCGCACUUCUCGACAUUAGCCGACGAAGAUGUACUGAUCGGAAGGUUCCGUAUUAAGGCUUAGGCGGAAACAAGAGUGUCGAAAUGUUCGUCUGCGGGCAAAUACGGUGAACGCUACCGGAAAAUCGCUACCUUUUUAACUACAAAAAGUGUGGAAAUUCGUCGAAUAUUUCCCGUAGAAAAACACGAAAUCGUCCCGUAGGAGGGAUGUGAAGACGUAAAUGUACGGUAACGAAAUUCGUUUACUUUAAAUUACGCUGCGGAGUUUUUAUCGGAAGAAAGGAGGUGGACUUGACUCAAUUAAAAAAAAAAAUAAAUAAAUCCGAAAGGGAAUGCUUAUUAUAAGAACAAUUGAAGCAGUGAUUUUGGUGAGCAAAAUUGAAUUGUCCACGUGGAAAAAACGGAAAUGGAGCAAUAAUUACUUGACUAAAGUCCGAGGAAAAAAUAUCUAGGAUCCAAUUAAGAACAAAUUUAAUUGACAAUUCAGAAAUUCAGAUAAAAGACUAAUGAACAGGAAGAACAUGAAGUUGUAAGAAUGACUUUCCCAGUUACCUAAUAAAAAUAAAAAAUGCUAUUCAUGUAAUUGUCAGUUUUGAAUUCAUGUAACACACCUUUAUUUAUUUAUUUAUUUAUUAUCGAAGUAAGUUGUUUAUGAUUUCAUCUACGCCUACUCUUAUGCAAUUGUAUUUAUUGGCAUUUUUCUUUCCU